CUCUAGCCUCGAUAGCAGUGGAAAUCCUAUUGUGCCGGGGUUCGGCACAAAAGAUUGAAACGUAUAGCGGGAAUAGCU
RNAcentral lists this small RNA (78 nucleotides) under Flavobacterium circumlabens. RNAcentral describes it as "Flavo-1 RNA". It matches the Rfam family "Flavo-1 RNA". Lineage: Bacteria; Pseudomonadati; Bacteroidota; Flavobacteriia; Flavobacteriales; Flavobacteriaceae. The record is from RNAcentral.